CCCUUAGAUGUUCUGGGCCGCACGCGCGCUACACUGAAGGCAUCAGCGUGUCCUUCCCUCCCCGAGAGGGGCGGGUAACCCGCUGAACCGCUUUCGUGGUAGGGAUCGGGGCUUGCAAUUAUUCCCCGUGAACCAGGAAUUCCCAGUAAGCGCGAGUCAUAAGCUCGCGUUGAUUACGUCCCUGCCCUUUGUACACACCGCCCGUCGCUACUACCGAUUGAAUGGUUUAGUGAGAUCUUCGGAUUGGCGCCACUGCGGCUCAGCAAUGGGCUCGGUGGAUGCCGAAAAGUUGAUCAAACUUGAUCAUUUAGAGGAAGUAAAAGUCGUAACA
Molecule: ribosomal RNA, 331 nt
Filed under: uncultured eukaryote
Lineage: Eukaryota
Description: partial 18S ribosomal RNA
Rfam family: Eukaryotic small subunit ribosomal RNA
Source: RNAcentral